GACGUAGGGGGCCAGCGUUGUUCGGAAUUACUGGGUGUAAAGGGUUCGUAGGCGGUGUGGCAAGUUGGGAGUGAAAUCUCUGGGCUCAACCCAGAGGCUGCUUCCAAAACUGCUGUGCUUGAGUGUGAGAGAGGCUCGUGGAAUUGCAGGUGUAGCGGUGAAAUGCGUAGAUAUCUGGAGGAACACCGGUGGCGAAGGCGGCAUCCUGGACCGGCAUUGACGCUGAGGCGCGAAAGCCAGGGGAGCAAACGGG
This 253-nucleotide ribosomal RNA is filed under the name uncultured bacterium. RNAcentral describes it as "partial 16S ribosomal RNA". It matches the Rfam family "Bacterial small subunit ribosomal RNA", at positions 524 to 776 of the family's 1533-position model. The record is from RNAcentral.